RNAcentral lists this ribosomal RNA (1166 nucleotides) under uncultured fungus. RNAcentral describes it as "eukaryotic LSU rRNA". The stretch from base 538 to 1166 matches the Rfam family "Eukaryotic large subunit ribosomal RNA", at positions 1 to 649 of the family's 3401-position model. The record is from RNAcentral. Lineage: Eukaryota; Fungi.
AAGUCGUAACAAGGUUUCCGUAGGUGAACCUGCGGAAGGAUCAUUACAGAGUUCAUGCCCUCACGGGUAGAUCUCCCACCCUUGAAUACUAUACCUUAGUUGCUUUGGCAGGCCGUGGAAACACCACGGGCCCCGGCUUGUGCGUGCCUGCCAGAGGAAAUAAACUCUGUUUUUAGUGAAGAGGAAAUAAACUCUGUUUUUAGUGAUGUCUGAGUACUAUAUAAUAGUUAAAACUUUCAACAACGGAUCUCUUGGUUCUGGCAUCGAUGAAGAACGCAGCGAAAUGCGAUAAGUAAUGUGAAUUGCAGAAUUCAGUGAACCAUCGAAUCUUUGAACGCACAUUGCGCCCCGUGGUAUUCCGCGGGGCAUGCCUGUUCGAGCGUCAUUUCAACCAAUCAAGCCUCGGCUUGGUCUUGNNGUUUGCGGUCCCGCAUCUCCUAAACUCAGUGGCGGUGCGAUUGAGCUCUGAGCGUAGUAAAUUUUCUCGCUAUAGGGUCUUGGUCGNUACUUGCCAGCAACCCCCAAUUUUUAUUAGGUUGACCUCGGAUCAGGUAGGGAUACCCGCUGAACUUAAGCAUAUCAAUAAGCGGAGGAAAAGAAACCAACAGGGAUUACCUCAGUAACGGCGAGUGAAGCGGUAACAGCUCAAAUUUGAAAUCUCCCUUCCGGGCGAGUUGUAAUUUGUAGAAGAUGCUUUGGGUAUGGCCCCGGUCUAAGUCCGUUGGAACACGGCGUCACAGAGGGUGAGAAUCCCGUAUGUGACUGGGUGCUUUUGCCUAUGUAAAGCUCUUUCGACGAGUCGAGUUGUUUGGGAAUGCAGCUCAAAAUGGGUGGUAUAUUUCAUCUAAAGCUAAAUAUUGGCCAGAGACCGAUGGCGCACAAGUAGAGUGAUCGAAAGAUGAAAAGCACUUUGGAAAGAGAGUUAAAUAGUACGUGAAAUUGUUGAAAGGGAAGCGCUUGCAACCAGACUUGCAUGCUGUUGAUCAUCCAGGCUUCUGUUUGGUGCACUCGACUGCAUUCAGGCCAGCAUCGGUUUUGGUGGUUGGAUAAAGGCCUUGGGAAUGUAGCUUCUUUCGGGGAGUGUUAUAGCCCUCGGUGCAAUGCAGCCUACCGGGACCGAGGACCGCGCUUCGGCUAGGAUGCUGGCGUAAUGGUUGUAAGCGACC